GAGAGAUCGUAUCCUUCAGUUCGGCUGGAUCGGAGACAGGUGCUGCAUGGCUGUCGUCAGCUCGUGUCGUGAGAUGUUGGGUUAAGUCCCGCAACGAGCGCAACCCUCGCCCUUAGUUGCCAGCAUUCAGUUGGGCACUCUAAGGGGACUGCCGGUGAUAAGCCGAGAGGAAGGUGGGGAUGACGUCAAGUCCUCAUGGCCCUUACGGGCUGGGCUACACACGUGCUACAAUGGUGGUGACAGUGGGCAGCGAGACCGCGAGGUCGAGCUAAUCUCCAAAAGCCAUCUCAGUUCGGAUUGCACUCUGCAACUCGAGUGCAUGAAGUUGGAAUCGCUAGUAAUCGCAGAUCAGC
This 353-nucleotide ribosomal RNA is filed under the name Ensifer meliloti. RNAcentral's name for it is "Sinorhizobium meliloti bacterial SSU rRNA". It matches the Rfam family "Bacterial small subunit ribosomal RNA", at positions 1001 to 1353 of the family's 1533-position model. The record is from RNAcentral. Lineage: Bacteria; Pseudomonadati; Pseudomonadota; Alphaproteobacteria; Hyphomicrobiales; Rhizobiaceae.